CAUCACAGUAAAAGUCUGAUGACAAGUCUGUAACCAAUAAAAUUUGAGGUGGGCGUGGGUUUGACCUUUCGUCUGGGGGUGGAACAGUCCUUUUUGCAACCAUAGCCGGCUUGGACACACUGCUAGCAAAAGGAAAUGGAUGCAAGGACAUUUUAUGGGUGUAAGGAACAUGAUCGAAUCCCAAUGUCUGAGAAGCUGGCUGUAGAUGAGCAGAUGGUCCCCUUCAAGGGAAGAAAUAGACUCAAGCAAUACCUGCCAUCAAAACCAAAGAAAUGGGGCUACAAGAUACUCAUCUUAGCUGGCUCUGAUGGUGUCCCACACAAUUUUGAGAUUUAUACAGGGAGAGCUGUGCAACCCCCUGAGCUGCCAGAUGUAGGAGCAAGUAGUACGUGGGUGGGAUGUAGGACGUGGAUGUUUUGAACAGAAGACGGCUAAGGUUGGAGAAACCACCUUGCAUGUUGUAAAGUGGUAUGAUAACCGUUCAGUCAGUCUUCUCAGUAAUUACAUUGGAGCACACCCAGUCACCAAGGUUGAUAGGUGGGAUGGCAAGCAAAAAAAAAUCAUUCAAGUCCCCUGUCCUGCUGUGGUGAGAGAGUACAAUAAGAAUAUGGGUGGGGUGGAUCUGCUGGACUCUCUCAUUGCACUGUACCGCAACAAAAUCAGAUCGAAGAAGUGGUACCACCGGCUGAUGUUCCACCUUAUUGACAUGACCAUCGUGACUGCCUGGCUGCUCUACAAGAGAGACUGCAGCAGUGCUGGGAUGAGAAAAGACGAACAGAUGAAGCUUUACACGUUUAAGUCAUAUAUUGCAGAAAGCUUGUGCAAAAGUGGCAAGAAUCUGGAACGUAAGAGAGGUCGUCCCAGUUCCACAAUUGCUGGGGAGUAUGAAGAAAAGAGGAGAAGAGGACCCGCUACACCUAUUCCAGUCCCUGAUGUGAGUCUGGAUGCCACAGCCCACUGGAUGGUCAUGGAUGAAAAGAAAGGGAGAUGCAAGGUACCCGGAUGCAAAGGUAGACCUAAAGCCAAGUGCCAAAAAUGUGGCGUGCAUCUGUGUUUCACAUCCACCAGCAACUGCUUCCUGAGGUUCCAUACAGAAUAAUAUAGACUGUGCUUUGUAGGGUUGGAGAAACACUGAUUCAGUCUUUACCCCACAGGAACAUACAUUCAGAAACACAAACAUACACUGUAGCUAAUCUCCAACACACAGAUUGAUAAACCAUCCACUGAUGAUUGUUGAAAUAAAACUUGUUGAAAUUGUUGUUGUCGUUGAAAUAAAACUUUUUAAAUUAA
This is a long non-coding RNA of Brienomyrus brachyistius, 1290 nucleotides long. RefSeq lists it as uncharacterized. The record is from RefSeq and is a predicted model, not a curated record. NCBI's taxonomy places the organism in Eukaryota, Metazoa, Chordata, Actinopteri, Osteoglossiformes, Mormyridae. The transcript is spliced from 2 exons.